Molecule: RNA transcript, 2262 nt
Organism: Trachymyrmex cornetzi
Lineage: Eukaryota; Metazoa; Arthropoda; Insecta; Hymenoptera; Formicidae
Gene name: Poly(A) binding protein interacting protein 1
Exons: 10
Source: RefSeq, a predicted model, not a curated record
GUUCAGGUUGUUCUGACUGCGUGAGAAUCGUGAGAUGCGUAGCCGAUGCGGCUUACGUUUGUGAUGCCUGUGUAUAACCGGCCUUCACAGCUUCCGGAUUCCUUGCAUAUUCUCACCGGUUAGAGGUGACGGACUGUCCUAAUUGCGUCCUAAUCUGUUCGUGAUUCAACGAGGAUUGCCGAUCGGUCUGUGAACCGAUAUUCCAAAGUUUGUUUGCACAGAAAAUGGACUCUUUUAGAGGAGACAGGAAAACCAGCAAGGAUGAGGGUAUUAUGAAACAAGGUAUAGGACGUGGACAUCGUGUUUGGUCACAAUUAGACUCAUGCGGGGGACUCAGGCGACCAUACAGUGUAUCAACUGCUAAUCAAUCCAGUAUAAAAUCCGACUCUUCGUCAUCUACAGUGACGACACAGCAUAAUCAGGAAGAGAAGAAAUUUGCGCUAUCGCCACAGGCAGCAGAGUUUAUUCCGAAAUCCAUGCUGCCUCAAGUUUUUAAGUCACAGUGUUCUUUGGUGCAGUCUCCUCCAGCAGAGCCUAACGUAUAUCUGCCUCCUCAAAUACCUCCCCUCCAAUAUACAAAGAGUUCCAUACAAGACAGGAUCAGAAUGGCUCGUGAAAUACCGCCAAAUGUAUCUGUACCUCCGUCAUUUGAGGAUGAUGGUACUCUAGGAGACAUUUUGGAGCAGCAAUGCAAUAUACAGGACACAGACGUAGGAAAUUAUAAUAAUUAUGGAUAUGAUCAAGAUGAUAGAGAGAAGCAACAAAAUGAAAAGGAAGAAGCUUAUAACUUAGAAACUUAUGAACAUCUCAAUAAAAUUAUCAACAUUUUAAUUAUGAAUCCUGCCGAGUUUACCAAUCUAGUUCCACCAUUUAUGGACAAGCUUAGGUUGAGUGGAAAUAUGUGUUGCUUGCAGUUGGUUAUCACAACUAUAAUCGAAUGGUCUAUAGCGGAAAGUAAUUUUCGAUAUAAUGGAGCCCGGUUAUGUAAAUAUUUUGACACCAGCUUAGAAGAUUCCAAAGAGAUGUAUAUGUUUUCCAAAGAGCUGUUCAGGGAUUUGUUGUGCUUCCAAUGUAAAUGGGAGACCAGAGUACUCGAAUCUGAAUGGCUUAAGCAACCCGAAGAGCAACGAGAUCAACGGAAAUGCAAUGGACUGAUAUUGUUUUUAGCAGAGUUGGUCGCUCAGAUGGAUGAGUCAUAUGCUUUCAUUUUAGGAGAACUUUUGGUAUUAUUUAUCACUAGGGUACUGCAAAGACCAGCGUCGAGUUCUGUUAAAUAUAUAUGCCAAGCGCUCAAGUUGGCGGGUCACGUGUUGGAGAAAGAUAAAAGCAGGAAUAAAGACAUGGAGAAUAUGAUGCGGGCACUAACGGAACUCGUGAAUAAUGGGCAAGUUGAUACGCAUGUAGGAAACAUGGUAAACAGUGUUCACGAAUUACGAAAGGAUUGGGGUAGAAGCGCGCCCAAUUGUGAUUCUGGGUCGAGUCAUGUGUUAUUUAACGAUGUGCAGCGACAAUCUGAUCAAUUGGGUGCGUCUAAUUAUCAUUCAUCUGAAUCGUUGAAAAUACAGCACCAAGUACCGGAGAAAAUACAUUUUAACCAACCAGUGAUGUAUGGUCCUGACGGCUCGAUUCUGUCUGCGGAGGAAAGCGAAUUUCUUGAGCAACAUGCAAAAGCUGAUUUAGACGAUCAAGGGACAUCUGAAGAAGAACCCGAUGACAAUUAUGACGAUGAAAUUGCGACUGCUUACGAAGAGUUCUUAAGAGAUGCAAAGUGCAAAUAAAAUUCAAACAGUGAAUAUAAUCUUGCACAAAUACACUGAAAAAACGAGUAAAUAAAAACUUGUGCAAAAUUAUACUCUAGCUCAAGCCCAUUUAUAAAAUACGAAUAUCUCUUGUUUGAAAGUUUAUGAUUUUCAAAGAGAUAAAGAUUUGAUUACAUGAACAUUAACAUGAUACUCCAUAUCUGUAUCACGAAAAGUAGGACAAGAUACUGGCAUCGAUGGAAAAGAAAUGCACCAAACACAUGAUUAAUGUUAAAUUCAUAAAGAUCCGCCAUGUACAUAAAUAGCAUCGAUAUGUAUAUGUAGCGUGCAGAGUGGUUCACUUUGAAACGGAAUGCUUGAAUAAAUUCAUUUCAUUGGACGCGAAAGAAAAUGUUAAGGACGAAACUUACAUAAUUGAAAAAAAAAACAAAUAUAUUAUAGAAGGAAGUUCUUCUCAAAAUCGUAGUUUGUGUUUCAGGGCAUAUGUAUCUUUAAUUUUCAC